GAUCAUGGCUCAGGAUGAACGCUAGCGACAGGCUUAGCACAUGCAAGUCGAGGGGCAGCACGAUGUAGCAAUACAUUGGUGGCGACCGGCGCACGGGUGAGUAACGCGUAUGCAACCUACCUAUCGAGAGGGGAAUAACCCGGCGAAAGUCGGACUAAUACCGCAUAAAACNGGGGUUCCACAUGGAAAUAUUUGUUAAAGAAUUAUCGCUGAUAGAUGGGCAUGCGUUCCAUUAG
Molecule: ribosomal RNA, 236 nt
Filed under: uncultured bacterium
Lineage: Bacteria
Description: partial 16S ribosomal RNA
Rfam family: Bacterial small subunit ribosomal RNA
Source: RNAcentral